AACGAACGCUGGCGGCAGGCCUAACACAUGCAAGUCGAGCGAGACCUUCGGGUCUAGCGGCGGACGGGUGAGUAACGCGUGGGAACGCGCCCUUUUCUACGGAAUAGCCUCGGGAAACUGAGCGUAAUACCGUAUACGCCCUUUGGGGGAAAGAUUUAUCGGAGAAGGAUCGGCCCGCGUUGGAUUAGGUAGUUGGUGGGGUAAUGGCCUACCAAGCCUACGAUCCAUAGCUGGUUUGAGAGGAUGAUCAGCCACACUGGGACUGAGACACGGCCCAGACUCCUACGGGAGGCAGCAGUGGGGAAUCUUAGACAAUGGGGGCAACCCUGAUCUAGCCAUGCCGCGUGAGUGAUGAAGGCCUUAGGGUUGUAAAGCUCUUUCAGCUGGGAAGAUAAUGACGGUACCAGCAGAAGAAGCCCCGGCUAACUCCGUG
This 433-nucleotide ribosomal RNA is filed under the name uncultured bacterium. RNAcentral describes it as "partial 16S ribosomal RNA". It matches the Rfam family "Bacterial small subunit ribosomal RNA", at positions 29 to 507 of the family's 1533-position model. The record is from RNAcentral.